This 254-nucleotide ribosomal RNA is filed under the name uncultured bacterium. Its description in RNAcentral is "partial 16S ribosomal RNA". It matches the Rfam family "Bacterial small subunit ribosomal RNA", at positions 524 to 776 of the family's 1533-position model. The record is from RNAcentral.
UACGAGUGCUCCAAGCGUUAUCCGGAAUCAUUGGGCGUAAAGGGUGUGUAGGUGGUAAUGUUAGUCUUCUGUUAAAUUCUUCGGCUCAACCGGGGACAUGCAGGGGAAACGGCAUUUACUAGAGGAUGCGAGAGGCACACGGAACUCAUGGAGUAGGGGUGAAAUCCGUUGAUAUCAUGGGGAACACCGAAAGCGAAGGCAAUGUGCUGGCGCACUCCUGACACUGAGACACGAAAGCGUAGGUAGCGAAUGGG